GACGAACGCUGGCGGCGUGCUUAACACAUGCAAGUCGAGCGGUAAGGCCCUUUCGGGGGUACACGAGCGGCGAACGGGUGAGUAACACGUGGGUGACCUGCCCUCAGCUCUGGGAUAAGCCUGGGAAACCGGGUCUAAUACUGGAUAUGACUCCAUGACGCAUGUUGUGGGGUGGAAAGCCUUGUGCGGCUGAGGAUGGGCCCGCGGCCUAUCAGCUUGUUGGUGGGGUGANGGCCUACCAAGGCGACGACGGGUAGCCGGCCUGAGAGGGCGACCGGCCACACUGGGACUGAGACACGGCCCAGACUCCUACGGGAGGCAGCAGUGGGGAAUCUUGCGCAAUGGGCGAAAGCCUGACGCAGCGACGCCGCGUGAGGGAUGACGGCCUGUGUAACU
This 396-nucleotide ribosomal RNA is filed under the name uncultured bacterium. RNAcentral's name for it is "bacterial SSU rRNA". It matches the Rfam family "Bacterial small subunit ribosomal RNA", at positions 28 to 430 of the family's 1533-position model. The record is from RNAcentral.